This 468-nucleotide ribosomal RNA is filed under the name uncultured bacterium. RNAcentral's name for it is "partial 16S ribosomal RNA". It matches the Rfam family "Bacterial small subunit ribosomal RNA", at positions 28 to 507 of the family's 1533-position model. The record is from RNAcentral.
GACGAACGCUGGCGGCGUGCUUAACACAUGCAAGUCGAACGGAAAGGCCCUGCUUUUGUGGGGUGCUCGAGUGGCGAACGGGUGAGUAACACGUGAGUAACCUGCCCUUGACUUUGGGAUAACUUCAGGAAACUGGGGCUAAUACCGGAUAGGAGCUCCUGCUGCAUGGUGGGGGUUGGAAAGUUUCGGCGGUUGGGGAUGGACUCGCGGCUUAUCAGCUUGUUGGUGGGGUAGUGGCUUACCAAGGCUUUGACGGGUAGCCGGCCUGAGAGGGUGACCGGACACAUUAGGACUGGGAUACGGCCCAGACUACUACGGGAGGCAGCAGUGGGGAAUAUUGCAUAAUGGGCGGAAGCCUGAUGCAGCAACGCCGCGUGCGGGAUGACGGCCUUCGGGUUGUAAACCGCUUUCGCCUGUGACGAAGCGUGAGUGACGGUAAUGGGUAAAGAAGCACCGGCUAACUACGUG